CUUGACGCUGGCGGCAGGCCUAACACAUGCAAGUCGAGCGAGUGGCGGACGGGUGAGUAAUGUCUGGGGAUCUGCCCGAUAGAGGGGGAUAACUAAUGGAAACGGUGGCUAAUACCGCAUACUAUCGGAUGAACCCAUAGGGGAUGAGCUAGUAGGUGGGGUAAAGGCUCACCUAGGCGACGAUCUCUAGCUGGUCUGAGAGGAUGAGCAGACAAACUGGGACUGAGAGACGGCCCAGAAUCCUACGGGAGGCAGCAGUGGGGAAUAUUGCACAAUGGGCGCAAGCCGGAUGCAGCAUUGCCGCGUGUAUGAAGAAGGCCUUAGGGUUGGAAAGUACUUUCAGCGGGGAGGCGUUACCCGCAGUAGAGGCACCGGCUAACUCCGUGCCAGCAGCCGCGGUAAUUC
Molecule: ribosomal RNA, 405 nt
Filed under: uncultured bacterium
Lineage: Bacteria
Description: partial 16S ribosomal RNA
Rfam family: Bacterial small subunit ribosomal RNA
Source: RNAcentral